UACGAAGGGGGCUAGCGUUGCUCGGAAUUACUGGGCGUAGAGCGCACGUAGGCGGCUUUCUAAGUCGGGGGUGAAAUCCUGGAGCUCAACUCCAGAACUGCCUUCGAUACUGGAGAGCUUGAGUCCGGGAGAGGUGAGUGGAACUGCGAGUGUAGAGGUGAAAUUCGUAGAUAUUCGCAAGAACACCAGUGGCGAAGGCGGCUCACUGGCCCGGUACUGACGCUGAGGUGCGAAAGCGUGGGGAGCAAACAGG
RNAcentral lists this ribosomal RNA (253 nucleotides) under uncultured bacterium. RNAcentral's name for it is "partial 16S ribosomal RNA". It matches the Rfam family "Bacterial small subunit ribosomal RNA", at positions 524 to 776 of the family's 1533-position model. The record is from RNAcentral.